Molecule: ribosomal RNA, 376 nt
Filed under: uncultured organism
Description: partial 16S ribosomal RNA
Rfam family: Bacterial small subunit ribosomal RNA
Source: RNAcentral
GGAGGGGGCAAGCGUUGUUCGGAAUUACUGGGCGUAAAGCGCGCGUAGGCGGCGUGCCAAGUGUGACGUGAAAGCCCUCGGCUUACCCGAGGAAGGGCGUCGCAGACUGGUAGGCUAGAGUGCCGGAGGGGGUAUGCGGAAUUCCUGGUGGAGCGGUGAAAUGCGUAGAGAUCAGGAAGAACGUCGGUGGCGAAGGCGGCAUCCUGGACGGACACUGACGCUGAGGUGCGAAAGCGUGGGGAGCGAACGGGGGAUUAGAUACCCCGGUAGUCCACGCCGUAAACGAUGGGCACUAGGUGUGGGGUUGGUGACCCAACUCUGUGCCCGGAGCUAACGCAGUAAGUGCCCCGCCUGGGGGAGUACGGUCGCAAGGCUG